This 254-nucleotide ribosomal RNA is filed under the name uncultured bacterium. RNAcentral's name for it is "partial 16S ribosomal RNA". It matches the Rfam family "Bacterial small subunit ribosomal RNA", at positions 524 to 776 of the family's 1533-position model. The record is from RNAcentral.
UACGUGGGAGGCGAGCGUUGUCCGGAGUUACUGGGCGUAAAGGGUGCGCAGGCGGCGUCACGCGUGGCUAGGUGAAAUCUCCUGGCUUACCUGGGAGGGUGGUAGCCAGACGGUGGCGCUUGAGUGUGGGAGAGGCGCGUGGAAUUGCAGGUGUAGCGGUGAAAUGCGUAGAUAUCUGCAGGAACACCAGUGGCGAAAGCGGCGCGCUGGACCACUACUGACGCUGAGGAACGAAAGCUAGGGGAGCAAACAGG